UACGUAGGUGGCAAGCGUUGUCCGGAUUUACUGGGCGUAAAGAGCGCGCAGGCGGUCGUUCAAGUCGCGUGUGAAAGCCCCCGGCUCAACUGGGGAGGGUCACGCGAUACUGAUCGACUCGAAGGCAGGAGAGGGUAGUGGAAUUCCCGGUGUAGUGGUGAAAUGCGUAGAUAUCGGGAGGAAUACCAGUGGCGAAGGCGGCUGCCUGGCCUGUUCUUGACGCUGAGGCGCGAAAGCUGGGGGAGCAAACGGG
This 253-nucleotide ribosomal RNA is filed under the name uncultured bacterium. RNAcentral describes it as "partial 16S ribosomal RNA". It matches the Rfam family "Bacterial small subunit ribosomal RNA", at positions 524 to 776 of the family's 1533-position model. The record is from RNAcentral.